Molecule: transfer RNA, 73 nt
Filed under: Stegodyphus mimosarum
Lineage: Eukaryota; Metazoa; Arthropoda; Arachnida; Araneae; Eresidae
Rfam family: tRNA
About the family: Transfer RNA (tRNA) molecules are approximately 80 nucleotides in length. Their secondary structure includes four short double-helical elements and three loops (D, anti-codon, and T loops).
Source: Rfam by way of RNAcentral
GCCUUCGUAGUGUAGUGGUCAGCACACCCGACGUCUAUUCCAGAGGUCCGUGGUUCGAGUCCCGGCGAAGGCG